This 72-nucleotide transfer RNA is filed under the name Cavia porcellus (domestic guinea pig). It matches the Rfam family "tRNA". Rfam says of the family: Transfer RNA (tRNA) molecules are approximately 80 nucleotides in length. Lineage: Eukaryota; Metazoa; Chordata; Mammalia; Rodentia; Caviidae. The record is from Rfam by way of RNAcentral.
UGGGAUGUAGCUUAGUGGCAGAGCACUUGCCUGGCAUGUAUGUAAUCCUGGAUUGGAUCCCCAGCACCACAG